This 522-nucleotide ribosomal RNA is filed under the name uncultured bacterium. RNAcentral's name for it is "partial 16S ribosomal RNA". It matches the Rfam family "Bacterial small subunit ribosomal RNA", at positions 355 to 870 of the family's 1533-position model. The record is from RNAcentral.
UGGGGAAUUUUGGACAAUGGGCGAAAGCCUGAUCCAGCAAUGCCGCGUGUGUGAAGAAGGCCUUCGGGUUGUAAAGCACUUUUGUCCGGAAAGAAAUCCUUGGCUCUAAUACAGUCGGGGGAUGACGGUACCGGAAGAAUAAGCACCGGCUAACUACGUGCCAGCAGCCGCGGUAAUACGUAGGGUGCAAGCGUUAAUCGGAAUUACUGGGCGUAAAGCGUGCGCAGGCGGUUUGCUAAGACCGAUGUGAAAUCCCCGGGCUCAACCUGGGAACUGCAUUGGUGACUGGCAGGCUAGAGUAUGGCAGAGGGGGGUAGAAUUCCACGUGUAGCAGUGAAAUGCGUAGAGAUGUGGAGGAAUACCGAUGGCGAAGGCAGCCCCCUGGGCAAUACUGACGCUCAUGCACGAAAGCGUGGGGAGCAAACAGGAUUAGAUACCCUGGUAGUCCACGCCCUAAACGAUGUCAACUAGUUGUUGGGGGAUUCAUUUCCUUAGUAACGUAGCUAACGCGUGAAGUUGACC